Molecule: non-coding RNA, 1111 nt
Organism: Microcebus murinus (gray mouse lemur)
Lineage: Eukaryota; Metazoa; Chordata; Mammalia; Primates; Cheirogaleidae
Source: RefSeq, a predicted model, not a curated record
UUUCCAGUGCUGGUGGUCCUGGCAGGCCUCACCUCCCUAAGUGACUUCCUUCACCCUCCUUGCACGUCUGUAGAUAUUGCAUCUCUCUCCACCCUGCUGGGAUACGGGCAGAUUGUGUGCAAGCACAGGGGGAAAUGGGAAGCCUUAGUUUCUCCAUCUGUGAAAUGAACGAAUCGGACCUUUCUGAAAUGAAGCAUUCAGAGGAGGAUCCCGGAGAGGAAGGCCAGAGCCAGUCGCUCUGCGGAAUGCAGUCUGUGCACUCUGCCGCCUGCUUCUCAGGAUGCCGUUGGAGGAGGCGACAAAGAGAGGUGGGGGAUUCCAGCCAUUGGCACCUUCGCCCUCACCCUCGCUCGAAGCACACGUGACCAUAUGGUGGAGACUAGACCAGGUCCAGGAAACCGGAUCGCUAGCAGUCUCUGGAAAAGACUCCCUGCACGCCUGCUUGGUGCCAGGCUCUGUCCUGGGGAAUGGAGUAACGCAAGCCUGGCACUGACGUCGACGGGCUCGAACACUCGAUCGGCGUAGCCACAGUACAGAACGGCGAAGGCUGCGAGGACGGUGCCAACUGGAAGCCAGAACAACGGACUCUGUGGGCAGCAGGAGGGUGUAGGAGCAGCUUAGGAGCCAUGGAAGUUUGAGAUAAGCUCGAAGAACAUGCAGGAGGAUACCUGGAAGAACAAACUGGAAGACAACUUCUAGCAGGGGAAGCGGCGCGCUUGAGUAAUGGAUGGAAAACAAGAACCCAGACUCUACGAGGCUUUGAGAGAGGCACGAGCAGCAGUGCACACAAUCUUUAGUGCAGGGACUUUCUGGCAGCUAAUGUGGGGACUCAGGGGACCCUUUUGAUGAGUUCAGGAUCAAAAGGUCCUGAAUGAGUCAGAUUGCUGGGAAAUGGACCUGGGGAUAAAUGGGGUCUUAUUGUGGUCUGGCAUGUUGGUUAUUUGAAAGGACCUUGGCCAUGACUGUGGCAAAGAGCAAUUUUCCUAAGGCAGCAAACACAAUGGUGCUUCUAAAAUCAAUUAACACGGGCCAGUGGCAAGAAGAAAAUAGCCUAAGAGAAUACUUUAUGAUAUUCUAGGAUGUCGGAGUUGGAAGGUCUCUUGGAACUGAU